This 377-nucleotide unclassified non-coding RNA is filed under the name uncultured Gammaproteobacteria bacterium. RNAcentral describes it as "contains 16S-23S intergenic spacer region". The record is from RNAcentral. Lineage: Bacteria; Pseudomonadati; Pseudomonadota; Gammaproteobacteria.
UCCGGUUCUUCACCGGCAGUCUCCUUAGAGUCCCCACCUCUACGUGAUGGUAACUAAGGACAAGGGUUGCGCUCGUUACGGGACUUAACCCAACAUCUCACAACACGAGCUGACGACAGCCAUGCAGCACCUGUCUCCUGGCUCCUUGCGGCACUCCAACCUCUCAGUCGGAUUCCAGGGAUGUCAAAAGUAGGUAAGGUUCUUCGCGUUGCAUCGAAUUAAACCACAUGCUCCACCGCUUGUGCGGGCCCCCGUCAAUUCCUUUGAGUUUCAACCUUGCGGCCGUACUUCCCAGGCGGAAGACUUAUCGCGUUAGCUUCGAUACAGAAGGGUUCCCCCUCCUACAUCUAGUCUUCAUCGUUUACAGCGUGGACUAC